UUUCAAAUUACCAGGUUACUCAAUUAAAUGUUAUGUUUGUGACGAAAAGAAAUCUUGCAAAAGUCCCAAACUAAAAGAAUGCAAUCCCGAGUUGGCCAUCAAAACCCGAACUUAUAUUUUUGCCUUUCACAAGGAUGCUAGCUUCAAUGCCACUUCACCAUUCUAUGAAUGUUUUUGGGAAAAUAUCGAAACUCCCUUCACUGAUUACUAUUACAAAGGUUGCACCUUUGCCAAUAUUGAAGGCUGCAAAUUGCCUUUAGACAACACUUUUACAAAUAACAAGCAUAAACGAGAAUGUGAUCAAUGCAGUGACAAAGAUGGUUGCAAUCCAGCAGGUCGUGCUCAAAUUAAUUUAAUGACUGUAAUUGCAGCAAUUGUAAUGGGUUUUUUAGUAUGUUAUGUGUAGAUUAAGAUUUAUUUGUAAUUGAAAAUCGUAAGUGAAAUAAAUGAAACAGUGAAAUUUUGUUACAUAAAUGAUUUUCGCCA
This is a long non-coding RNA of Calliphora vicina (urban bluebottle blowfly), 486 nucleotides long. RefSeq lists it as uncharacterized. Lineage: Eukaryota; Metazoa; Arthropoda; Insecta; Diptera; Calliphoridae. The transcript has 2 exons. The record is from RefSeq and is a predicted model, not a curated record.